GAUGAACGCUGGCGGCGUGCCUAAUACAUGCAAGUCGAGCGAACAGACGAGGAGCUUGCUCCUCUGACGUUAGCGGCGGACGGGUGAGUAACACGUGGAUAACCUACCUAUAAGACUGGGAUAACUUCGGGAAACCGGAGCUAAUACCGGAUAAUAUAUUGAACCGCAUGGUUCAAUAGUGAAAGACGGUUUUGCUGUCACUUAUAGAUGGAUCCGCGCCGCAUUAGCUAGUUGGUAAGGUAACGGCUUACCAAGGCAACGAUGCGUAGCCGACCUGAGAGGAUGAUCGGCCACACUGGAACUGAGACACGGUCCAGACUCCUACGGGAGGCAGCAGUAGGGAAUCUUCCACAAUGGGCGAAAGCCUGACGGAGCAACACCGCGUGAGUGAUGAAGGUCUUCGGAUCGUAAAACUCUGUUAUUAGGAAAGAACAAAUGUGUAAGUAACUCUGCACGUCUUGACGGUACCUAAUCAGAAAGCCACGGCUAACUACGUG
RNAcentral lists this ribosomal RNA (497 nucleotides) under uncultured bacterium. RNAcentral's name for it is "partial 16S ribosomal RNA". It matches the Rfam family "Bacterial small subunit ribosomal RNA", at positions 28 to 507 of the family's 1533-position model. The record is from RNAcentral.